GUGCGACCGCACGAAUACAAACGAAGCGUCGAAGUCGUUUCCUGACUUUCCCGAUGUUAUGUUGUGUGUUUUCCGUGAAACUCUCGUUUUAUUUUUCCAUGUUUUGUGUUAAAUCCGUCGCCUUUUAAUGUUUUUAUGUAUUUGAAGUGUACGUAAAAGUGUAACGAUAACCGACGUUAAGGAUGAACACCGUCUGAGGAAUCAAUUGCUGGGCGAAGCUUCUACUAGGCUAAGGGACAAUAUAUUUUCACCAAACAAG
Photinus pyralis (common eastern firefly) is the source of this 259-nucleotide long non-coding RNA. RefSeq lists it as uncharacterized. NCBI's taxonomy places the organism in Eukaryota, Metazoa, Arthropoda, Insecta, Coleoptera, Lampyridae. The transcript has 3 exons. The record is from RefSeq and is a predicted model, not a curated record.